Harpegnathos saltator (Jerdon's jumping ant) is the source of this 74-nucleotide non-coding RNA. Lineage: Eukaryota; Metazoa; Arthropoda; Insecta; Hymenoptera; Formicidae. The record is from Rfam.
CGUCAGGUAGCUCAGUGGGUUUAAAGCAGUCGCCCUGCAAGCGAGAGACCCGAGUUCAAUUCCCGGUCUAGGGA